CCUGGAGUAUGCAAACCGCAGCAAAUUUAUCUGUCAUUGUUUUGGUUUCAACUGGGUCAUGUAGUUUCAGAGGAUGUAAAAGGGCUUCUACACACUUCGAGGUAAAAUUUUCAUCCCAAUAGGUGUAACUCAUAUCAUCAAGUUUCCCAGUUUUACAGAGCUCUCCAACAAGAAGCCUUACUUGUAAUGCAUUUGGACUAGAUUGACCCUGCAAGUUGAACGGAUAGCCGACAACAAAGCCUGCAAGGGACAUACCAAAGUUACGAAAUCAUCCGCCAUCAAGCUGAUGUUUGUCUUUGUCCUGCUCAAUACACUGUAGGAGACAAUGCAAUUGUUAAUCCCAAUAGGAAAAUCCAUUUCUUUAAGGGAAUGCAUGCAGAUCAUAUAUCCCAUCACUAAACUAUCAUAGUAUUGGCCACAAAAAACCAGGUAGGCAGGUGGAUUGUUGCAAAUUCAAGAGAGUCAAUAUCUGAUAAAACAGGGGUGUUAUCCUGAGAUAACCUUAUGCUAGCAGUGCAGACAAUGACCACAAAAUUCUAGAUAAACGCAUACUUCAGCAAAUCUAGAUCCACUCUGUCUGAGUGCUUAGGUAGGUAAAAGGAUAUCAGCUUUAGCCAAGUGCAGUCCGUCCAUCUUAACAAUGGUAAGUGAAGAAUUUCUCGUGAAGAAAAGCCUUAUAAGGCUUAAAUAUGUUAAAGACUAAUAUUUUUAAAAAUAAUAAAGGUACACUAUGAUAGUAGGGAUAAGAUCUUGUGUAUCGAUAUAUUGUAAAUUGCAAAUAAUUUUCCUUAAAGUUUGAAGGCAACUACAGUUAUUUUCUAACAAACCGAAGUUUAGUAUAGUCGAAUUAAUCAAAGAGAAGGACCUAAUACAACAGACACAGCACAAUAAUAGACUGUCUUACAAAAGCCAGAGACCAUACAAACUGAAACAAAUUCUGAUAGUUGGAAGAUUCCAAUCCAACAUGAUAAUGAUUUGAAUGAAGUACAACAAAAAAUGCCGAUCCAUUGAAAUGAGUUGGAAACUCAACAUUCCUACUAAUCCAUGAGAGGAAUGGAAUAUAGAACCGCCUGCAUUUAAAUCAUCACAUAGAAAGUGAUGUUCUAAUUUUUAUGGACACACUGGAAUCACUUCUACAAUAGUUUGAAGUGCAUACCUUAGAGGCAAUGCGAUCCUAUUUUUGUCGUCGGAAACAGCCAGCCCAACAUACUUACUACCAACGUCAAGCCCAAGCAGUCGAGAUUGCUUUCUCCACCCGCCGUCAAUGACUUUCCUGAACAACUGAUCCGCUUUCAACAGCCUCAUUGUAUAUUUACUCCAAUUUCAA
Molecule: small RNA, 1327 nt
Filed under: Oryza sativa Japonica Group (Japanese rice)
Lineage: Eukaryota; Viridiplantae; Streptophyta; Magnoliopsida; Poales; Poaceae
Description: sRNA Os01g0764750
Source: RNAcentral